CAUCACAGGGAAGCUCAUUACCGAAGCCUUGGUUUGCACUGGACAUGGUUGGGAAUGGCCGCCAGAAACUUUCCAGGCCUGGCCUAUUUGCUCACUUCGUAGCUGAGGACAGAGUGGGAAGGAGAGGUUCAGGGCAGGGUGGCUGCAGGAGCACCUACACCAGCUCUGCCUGGCUGCAGAGCCUCAGCUUCCUGGUUGUUAGGAUUACAGGGGUGUGUCACAAUGCCUCAUAUGGAAAUAUGAAGCCGCUCUCCAGUUCUGUGAGGGGAGAAGCCACUGUGUAGAGAGAGGUACCUAAGAAUCCUCACAGCAACUAAACACGAUCGUGGUCCCGGCACAACCUCUAACCUUUAGGCUGUCCAUCACUGACUGGGCUUGGCCUCCUGUGGAACACAAAAUGGAGCCUUCUGUUCCUUUUGUUGGUGAUGUCGAGCAGAAAGAGUUUUCCUAGUCCCUGGCAGCUGUGGCAUGGAAUGCAUCCCUCCCUGGCAUUAGCUAUGGCUAUCACUUAGGGGAGAAUGAAACACUGUCUGAUGUCUGAUUGUCUCCAGGCACCGAAGGUCUGUAUACUAGAAGAUUCAGGCUCCGAGCAGGCUUAGCCAACUUAGAAGACUCUGCUUGACAAUUAACUCUUUUAUCUUCAAGAGUUUCAUAAAUACAAAGAGCCAAGUUUGGAGACCAGGACACUGUUUAAGUUUCUGCGGUUGUGCAUCCUCUACGUGGUAGCCAUUGGCCUCAAGGCUUACUGCCUACCCAGUAGCAUCCUCAUCUCAGCUGUGCCAAAUUCCGAGGAAGUUUUGAAAUGUCACAGUCGAGAUUAGAAACACAGAAAAGUGCAGACACCUGAGUCCGGUGAAGUGUCUUUACAUUCAUGACAUUAUAGACAAGACUUCACGAA
This is a long non-coding RNA of Mesocricetus auratus (golden hamster), 898 nucleotides long. RefSeq lists it as uncharacterized. The record is from RefSeq and is a predicted model, not a curated record. Lineage: Eukaryota; Metazoa; Chordata; Mammalia; Rodentia; Cricetidae. The transcript is spliced from 2 exons.